This 403-nucleotide ribosomal RNA is filed under the name bacterium. RNAcentral's name for it is "partial 16S ribosomal RNA". It matches the Rfam family "Bacterial small subunit ribosomal RNA", at positions 355 to 776 of the family's 1533-position model. The record is from RNAcentral.
UGGGGAAUAUUGCACAAUGGGGGAAACCCUGAUGCAGCGACGCCGCGUGAACGAAGAAGGUAUUCGUAUCGUAAAGUUCUGUCCUAUGGGAAGAUAAUGACAGUACCAUAGAAGAAAGCUCCGGCUAAAUACGUGCCAGCAGCCGCGGUAAUACGUAUGGAGCGAGCGUUGACCGGAAUUAUUGGGCGUAAAGGGUACGCAGGCGGUUUAAUAAGUCGAAUGUUAAAGAUCGGGGCUCAACCCCGCAAAGCAUUGGAAACUGAUAAACUUGAGUAGUGGAGAGGAAAGUGGAAUUCCUAGUGUAGUGGUGAAAUACGUAGAUAUUAGGAGGAAUACCAGUAGCGAAGGCGAGUUUCUGGACACAAACUGACGCUGAGGUACGAAAGCGUGGGGAGCAAACAGG